GAAAGUAAACAAGGGCGCAUGGAGGAUGCCUAGGCUCUCGGAGGCGAAGAAGGACGUGAUAAGCUGCGAAAAGUUACGGUAAGGCGCAAAUAGCCCUAGACCCGUAAAUAUCCGAAUGGGGCAACCCGGCCAGCAAUGGUCAUACCGCCAAGCGGUAAGCCAACGCGGGGAACUGAAACAUCUAAGUACCCGCAGGAAAAGAAAAUAACAAUGAUUCCGCCAGUAGUGGCGAGCGAACGCGGAACAGCCCAAACCACUCGUGUUACGGCACGAGUGGGGUAGAAGGAUCCACGCCACGGCAAGAAAUAAGUUAGCAGAAUACGAUGGAAAUCGUAGCCAAAGACGGUGACAGCCCAGUACGCGAAAACCGACAGAAGCCCAGUGGACACCUGAGUAACCCAGGACACGAGAAAUCCGGGGCGAAUCAGCGGGGCCCAUCCCGUAAGGCUAAAUACUCCCGAGAGACCGAUAGCGAACCAGUACUGUGAAGGAAAGGUGAAAAGCACUUCGAAUAGAAGAGUGAAAUAGUCCCUGAAACCAUGCGCCUACAAGCGGUCGGAGCAGCUUAUGCUGUGACGGCGUGCCUUUUGCAUAAUGAACCUACGAGUUACUUUUUCCGGCAAGGUUAAGGAUCUUGAGAUCCGCAGCCGAAGCGAAAGCGAGUCUUAACAGGGCGAUUAGUCGGAAGGAGUAGACGCGAAACCAAGUGAUCUACCCUUGGUCAGGUUGAAGGUUAGGUAACACUAACUGGAGGACCGAACCGAUAAGCGUUGAAAAGCUUCCGGAUGAGCUGAGGGUGGGGGUGAAAGGCUAAUCAAACUUGGAGAUAGCUCGUACUCCCCGAAAUGCAUUUAGGUGCAGCCUUGACCAUUACUAAUGUGAGGUAGAGCGACUGAUAAGAUGCGAGGGCUUCACCGCCUAUCAAGUCUUGACAAACUCCGAAUGCGCAUCAGUUUUACCUCAGGAGUGAGGGCAUGGGUGCUAAGGUCCGUGCCCGAGAGGAGAAGAAUCCGGACCACCUGCUAAGGUCCCGAAAUAACAGCUAAGUUAAACUAACGAAGUCAGAUUGCUAAGACAGCUAGGAUGUUGGCUUGGAAGCAGCCAUUCAUUUAAAGAGUGCGUAACAGCUCACUAGUCGAGGAGUUUGGCGUGGAUAAUAAUCGGGCAUAAGUAUUCUACCGAAGCUUUGGGAUGAGAAAUCAUCGGUAGGGGAGCAUUCCACUCGGCGUCGAAGGUGAAGCGCGAGCUUUGCUGGAGCGUGUGGAAAAGCAAAUGUAGGUAUAAGUAACGAUAAAGGGGGUGGGAAACCCCCUCGCCGAAAGACUAAGGUUUCCUGAUCAACGCUAAUCGGAUCAGGGUAAGUCGGGUCCUAAGGCUCAGCCGAACGGCGAGGCCGAUGGCAGAACCGGUUAAUAUUCCGGUACUACCUGUGGGAGUGACGUGGAGACGGAGUCGUGACAGCGCCGCGGACUGACGGAAUAGUCCGUUGAAGGGUGUAGAUGCUGAUUGUUCCAGGCAAAUCCGGAGCAAGAGUCGAACCUGAUAGUAUGGAGCGUUCUUAGAACAAUCCAAUAGUGCGUGUAAUCAUACUUCCAAGAAAAUCCGCUAAACUUAAUCCUGCAGGUACCCGUACCGCAAACGGACACACGUAGUCGGGUUGAAUAUACUAAGGCGCUUGAGUGAUUCACGGUUAAGGAACUAGGCAAACUGACCCUGUAACUUCGGGAUAAAGGGUCCUCGCUUAACGGCGAGGCGCAGAGAAUAGGUCCAGGCAACUGUUUAACAAAAACACAGGGCUGUGCAAAAUUUCAAGAUGAAGUAUACAGCCUGACACCUGCCCGGUGCCGGAAGGUUAAGAGGAGAGCUAAUCGCAAGAGAAGGCUUGAAUUGAAGCCCCGGUAAACGGCGGCCGUAACUAUAACGGUCCUAAGGUAGCGAAAUUCCUUGUCGGGUAAGUUCCGACCUGCACGAAUGGUGUAAUGAUCUGGACACUGUCUCAACCGUGACUUCGGUGAAAUUGUAGUAUCGGUGAAGAUGCCGAUUACCCGCAACGGGACGAAAAGACCCCGUGAACCUUUACUGCAACUUAGCAUUGCGUUUGGGCAUUUGAUGUGUAGGAUAGUCCGGAGGCUACGAGUCGGCGACGCCAGUCGUCGAGGAGCCGCUGUUGAAAUACGGACCUUCGAAUGUUUGAGCGCUAACUCGCAGGAGCGAGGACACUGUUUGGUGGGUAGUUUGACUGGGGUGGUCGCCUCCAAAAGCGUAACGGAGGCUUCUAA
RNAcentral lists this ribosomal RNA (2279 nucleotides) under human gut metagenome. Its description in RNAcentral is "bacterial LSU rRNA". It matches the Rfam family "Bacterial large subunit ribosomal RNA", at positions 1 to 2313 of the family's 2925-position model. The record is from RNAcentral.